GAUCCUGGCUCAGGAUGAACGCUAGCUACAGGCUUAACACAUGCAAGUCGAGGGGCAGCAUUUCAGUUUGCUUGCAAACUGGAGAUGGCGACCGGCGCACGGGUGAGUAACACGUAUCCAACCUGCCGAUAACUCGGGGAUAGCCUUUCGAAAGAAAGAUUAAUACCCGAUGGUAUAAUUAGACCGCAUGGUCUAAUUAUUAAAGAAUUUCGGUUAUCGAUGGGGAUGCGUUCCAUUAGGCAGUUUGG
This 248-nucleotide ribosomal RNA is filed under the name uncultured bacterium. Its description in RNAcentral is "partial 16S ribosomal RNA". It matches the Rfam family "Bacterial small subunit ribosomal RNA", at positions 15 to 253 of the family's 1533-position model. The record is from RNAcentral.